GGAAGUAAAAGUCGUAACAAGGUUUCCGUAGGUGAACCUGCGGAAGGAUCAUUACCGAGUUGAUUCGGGCUCCGGCCCGAUCCUCCCACCCUUUGUGUACCUACCUCUGUUGCUUUGGCGGGCCGCGGUCCUCCGCGGCCGCCCCCCUCCCCGGGGGGGUGGCCAGCGCCCGCCAGAGGACCAUCAAACUCCAGUCAGUAAACGAUGCAGUCUGAAAAACAUUUAAUAAACUAAAACUUUCAACAACGGAUCUCUUGGUUCUGGCAUCGAUGAAGAACGCAGCGAAAUGCGAUAAGUAAUGUGAAUUGCAGAAUUCAGUGAAUCAUCGAAUCUUUGAACGCACAUUGCGCCCUUUGGUAUUCCGAAGGGCAUGCCUGUUCGAGCGUCAUUACAACCCUCAAGCUCUGCUUGGUAUUGGGCACCGUCCUUUGCGGGCGCGCCUCAAAGACCUCGGCGGUGGCGUCUUGCCUCAAGCGUAGUAGAACAUACAUCUCGCUUCGGAGCGCAGGGCGUCGCCCGCCGGACGAACCUUCUGAACUUUUCUCAAGGUUGACCUCGGAUCAGGUAGGGAUACCCGCUGAACUUAAGCAUAUCAAUAAGCGGAGGA
Molecule: ribosomal RNA, 607 nt
Filed under: Botryosphaeria dothidea
Lineage: Eukaryota; Fungi; Ascomycota; Dothideomycetes; Botryosphaeriales; Botryosphaeriaceae
Description: eukaryotic LSU rRNA
Rfam family: 5.8S ribosomal RNA (bases 235-388)
Source: RNAcentral